GCUGGAGGUGGAACUGUAAGAGCAGAGAGGAGGAGAAGGCUCACCAUGAAGACAAAAGAAGUCCUGAGCCUUGGAUUUUCUUCCUCUAGGGCUUUGUGGACCCACAGAUUGGUAGAAGUUCUGUGAGGGCUGACUUCUCCCCAUCUGUCCCAGAUGGAUCCCUUAAGGCUCAGGACACCUCAGAGGACUGGUGCAUGGGCUGCAGCCAGCCUGACCCAGCUCUAUAAAGAAGCUCACCCUUUACAGAUGCCCCAGAGAGGCCCCCAUCCUGCCCUGCAGCCAGCUUCCUGGGCAAGUGGGAUCAGGCACUCGGGGUCUCCCUCCUCCAGGGUUUCCUGAAACAGGAUGCAUUCAGCCCUUGUAGAGUUGCUGGGGAAGUGGAAGGAAAACAGAGGUGACUCUUGAAGCCCCAGGAGCUGACCUUAGAUCUUGACACUCCUGGUGUGUGCAAAGGUCUGAGGAGACGGCCAGAUUGAGGUAAAGCAGUAAAAAUCCGUGCUUGUCAGGAAAGUAGCAAGAGCCGAGUUCUACACUAACCAUUGGCUGGCCUGGGGCAGCCUGCAGCUGCACAACUGCCUCGUACAAUGGCAUGGACAAGCAGUGUCGGUGACGUAGCAGGCCGCUGGGGACCUGGGAGACAUCCUGCUGCUGCAGGAGUCCUGUGCAGAGCAGAGGAGAGAGCAGUUUGGCAAGUGCAGGGGUCCCACUCUUCUUUUGGUUGGUGGCAGGGAGCAGGUGGGGCCUAACCUGGGUGGACAGUGUCUACCUCCCUUCUGUGCAUUUUGCAUUGGCCUUAAUUGGUUCUCCCGGGAUAGUCACGAAAGCCCGACCUUUGUUCCAGGUAAAGUGCUGCAUGUUUCAUGUGUACAGCUCAUUUAAUCUUCACAGGACCUUAUGAAGUAGUUAUUAUAUCUAUUAUCAUCACAGAAAAGAACACUGAGCCUCAGAGAGGUCAAGCAAUUGGCCCAAGAUCACACAGCCUGCAAGAAACAGAGAUGGGACUCAGACCCUGGUCUAUUUGGCUCCCAUGUGCCUUACUACUAUGUUAUACCCACCCCUCCAGGAAUUUCAAGUCCCAAGAAAUGGCCUCCAGAAGGAAAUCCUUUGCCAUCCCCCUAACUUGAGUAUUCAGUGAUUUCUGGAAUAGAACUUGCCUGUUACAGAAAUGGGAAAAAUAUGAAGACACAUGCAAUAAAAAUAAAAACUAAAUUUAGAAUGAAGAGGAGACACAACCUAGGUAAAAUUUAAUUUUCAUUUUGGCUCAUAGGUAAUUUUAUCCUGAAGUGUACUAGGGAUAAUGAUGGCAUGCUGUUUCACUAGAGUAACUGAGUGAAAACAUAAUAAUGAUGAAAAUAAUGAACAUAAUUUUUUAAAAAUUCACCUUGUAGCUUUGUUAUCUAUAGAUGAUGUCAUUAAAAGUUCUGAGAAAUAAAUAUUACUAAUUCAAGUUUACAGAUGAGAAAAAGGAAGAUCAGAGGAGAUAAGGGAUUUGCCCAAUGCUAAUCAAUGAGUAAGGGAAAUGACCAGCGUUGGACCUCCGAAUCCGAGUGUAAUACAUCUUUCUCUGCAGAACUUUGACUCCUUUUUCUUUCUCAUUCUCUAUUCUUUGCCUUCUGGGAUGCCAAUUGCAUGUUUGUUAGACCUUCUCUCUGUGUUUUGAGCAUCUCUUAUAAUCUGCUCAUUUCUUUCUUCCAUAUGCCGUUCAAUAUACAUAUUUUUUUCUAUUGGCAUGUCUUGAAGUUCAGGGAUUUGACUGCUGCUAUGUUCUAUCCACUGUUAAACUCAUCUAGGGAGUUCUUACUUUCAGAUAUUGCAGUUCUAGAAUGUCCAUUUGCUUCUUUUUUUUUAUAAAUUCCAAUCCUCUGUCAAAAUUACUUAUCUUUCCAUCCGUUUUUUUCAAACUUUCCCUUAUUUUUUUAAAAAAAUAUUUUAAAUAAUUUCCUUCAAAUCCUUCUCUGCUAACUCUAACCAUUGGAUACUUUGUGCAUCUGCUUUAUUGUAUGUCUUCCCAUUUAUUGUGGGUCACAUUUUCCUACUUCUUGCAUCUCAUUACUUAGGGUUGUUUGUCAGAUGUUGUUGUUGUUAUGCAUAAAAGACCCGCAGCUACUGAAGUUGAUGUUCUUCUCCCCGAGAAAAAGUUUGCCUUUUCCUUAGCUAGGCAGACAGUACAGGGGGUAUCACUGGAUGCUGUGAGGAAGUGAACUAGAUCACGGCUGGGACUGCAGCUGGGUGUAACUCACUCUGGUUUUGACCAUCUCCUGGGGGACACAUGGGGCACAGGUAGCAUGGACCCCUUUCUCUAGUGCAGGCUUGUCCAACCUGUGGCCCACAGGCUGCAUGAAGCCCAGGACGGCUUUGAAUGCAGCUCAACACAAAUUCAUAAACUUUCUUAAAACACUAUGAGUUUUUUUGCAAAUUUCUUUUUUUAGCUCAUCAGCUACUGUUAGUGUAUUUUAUGUGUGGCCCAAGACAAUUCUUCUUCUUCUGUAGUGGCCCAGAAAAACCAAAAGAUUGGACACCCCUGCUCUCAAGGGACUUUGACUCUUAAGGAACAUGAUACUGAGGGGGAUUUGACUCAUCUCUCCCAGCCCAGCCCCCUUCCUGUAUAAACCAGCCUCUAUCCCAAACCUUCAACAAAGCUGAGUCAAGUUCUCCUAGGCUUUGGAUUGAGCUCCUAUUGUGUCUCUGUCACCUCUUCCCCGAAAGCUGAGCUCUUUAACCUCCACAUCAUGUGGAUUCAAAAUCUGCCAGGUGUUCUGAUUGGGGCCCCGCUGGGUGUGGUUGUCAGCCUCUUCUUCUACUGUGACUUUGACUCCUAGGCACUCUGAGGCUAUGGGAGAUUUCACAAUUCCUGGCUGGCUCAUCCCCUCAGUGUUCUGUGCCACCCCAGAUGCAAUAACUGCCCAGCGGGGAAGGUCAGCCAUGCUUUAGGGACUUCUGGAUGUUCCAUUCUUUGCCAGCCUGCAGGGCCCUGGGUCUCCUCUCUCUUUUCUUCUGCUCGCAGUAAGCCCACUCUUUAGAUGGCCUCAGCAAAUGCCCCUUGGAAAGAAAACUGCCAGCACACUCAUUUCACUCUGCGGGAGCUAUUCCCCUCUGGAAUGUUCAUUCUUUUAGUCUCUUUUGCCUCUAUGAUUCUCCAUACUGUUUAUAAAAACAUGAUUUUUGUGAUACAUCAUUUUUCCCCCUAGCUGUUGCAGUCAGAGGAAUGCCUUGCUAAAUCUUACUCAAAGGCGCAAGUUGGAAAACUGACGGUUAAUUUAUUUUUUCAUCAGUGAGAGCACACCGAGUCAUAUUUUUUGCCAAUAUUUUAUUAUGAAAGUUUGCAAGCAUACAGCAAAGUUGAAAGAAGUUUACAAUCAACAACUCACAUACACAGCAGUGUGUCUGUAAACUGGCUCUCUGGAGGGAAAACAAAAAAUCUGAUUUGUAUUGUUUGCUGAUUUCUGUGGUGUGAAUGUUUUUGUCUUUGCUAAUUUCAAGUUACCAAUGUGACGUGGGGGAGAUUUGUGCAAUAUCAGCUCUGGGGAGCGUAUGUGAGCCAGCUCAGGCCCACCACUGCCUGGAGCCAUCACUUAGAAUCUGUCACCAACAUCUUAGGGUGCUUGUUGAGUCAUGUGUGUAUCUUGCCCUCUAUCCACUGUCAAUCCAUCUUAUGUUUAAAAUGUAUUUCAAUGUAAAUUACAGAUAUAAGAAUAAUUCUUUCUUCUUCAACAUUAACUAGAGUUGGUUCACUAUUUGUUUUUCACUAACUUGCUUUUACUAAUUAAUUUUUUACUAUUUGUUUUGAUGUAAAAUGAAAUCUUAGUCUUAAUUGUGCAUUCACUGAGUUUUGACAAAUCCAUACACCUGUGUAAUCCAGUCCCUAUCAAGAUAUAGAAUACCAUUACUCCAGAAAUUUCCUUUAAAGCUUGGCCAACUAAAAUUUUCAGCUUUUUGGGACAUGGACUGUUACUAAACAAGGCCUCCUUCAUUAUACUUGACCAAAUGAUCAUUCCACCCUAAAUGCAUGUCUUUAUAAUUGUUCAAUUUUGCACUCACCAGGAUGAAUGAUCAGAAAUUUGCUAAUACAAAACUUUGAAAGUAGAUGCACCAUAAUAGGCUGAAAGCUUCAGUACCCAAAGUGUACACCCAUGUUGAGUCAUGCCAAGAAAACAUCACAGACAUUAAACACAGACCAAACCCUCAGUCCCCAGGAAACAAGGGGACGUACAAGCAACCUCACAUCCAUCCCUUCUGAUUCUCUGAAGCUCCAGCUCCCACACAAAGUACAUGUGAAUCAUUCUGAUAAUAAUCCCAUGACAUAGUUGUCAUCCCAAAGAACAAGCCUUUCCAACCUCCUGCCCUGGCUGAUUCGGACGACACCUCACUUGGCAAUAUAUGCAUUUGGCUUCCACCUGCCAUAAGUCAAGGAAAAAUAUCAGGCAAUGGUGGAAAACAAAAUCCAGGAAAAUAUUCACCAAGACAAAGGAGAAAGCAAUCAUUUGCCUUCAGUUAUGGGGAAGGAUAUUUUAGGCUCAAGUGGUGAGAAAUAUUGGACAGUGUUUCAGUUCUCAACCACUAAACCAUGUUCCAGAUGAAGAAGGCAGGUUUGGAGAAAAGCAAAUAGAAUCUCUCACCUGAUGGGCCAAACUAGAAAACAUUUUCAAAAACAAUUUCAUAUAUUUGAGAUAUUAACCACGACAGUAAUUGGGACAUAGGCCUGUCUUUUAUUAUUUGAGAGCUGCUAAGAUUAUGAUACCUUGCCCAUAUGUCACAGCUGAUGAAGCUUUUGUGCUUCGCUACUUAAAUUCUACCACUGAUAUCUCACUCACCAGACCUGUGAGAAUGGAUGAUGCAGAUUUGUUUAACCAUUAGAGCUGUGUAAUAAUUAAAUGGUUUAUUGCUAGAAGGUUCCAUAUUUCAUGACUUCAUGACCACAUGACUCUCUAGCGACCAGAUUUUCCAAGGUGAGUUUGGGUCAUUUUCAUUUGCCAAAUAAAAAUAUGAUACCCAGAGAUAAAGAAUAUUCAAGAAUGUGUUAUUAUUUAGCUCAUUCAACAAAUGUGUAUAUUUAUAUAUUUACUUCUGAUCUCUUUUUCACACAUCAACAGAGUUAUGCUUUGUAGAAUAAUGAUUUGUGAACAAUACCAUUUCCCUGCUAUUGCACAUUUAUGGUGUUUCCAAUUUCUUCAUACGACAGGUAUUGCCACAAUAAAUAACAAGGCAUAGAAAGCGUUCUCUGUAUAUUGGGUUAUUACUUAAGCAUAGAUCGAGGGAUGUAAACCUUUUUAAUACCCUUGAGCAACAUAAUAAAAUUCCCUUCCUAAAAGACUGUAUAAAUUUACAAACCUAUUUUAAAAAGUCUCUGAGCGUCCAUUUCACUGCAGCCUUACCAGCACAGAGUGAUGGUAAUAUAUUGAACAUGUCAAGUUUGAGUAGGGCACGCAGAUCCAGGCUGGAUAUUACCACUCCAACUUUGGAGAAUGUUCUGAAACAGGCCCUGAUCAGUAGACUUAGCUGGGUGAACUUUAAGGUCCCUGCUAAACUUCUAUGAUUAUAUUUGCAAUCAAAUUUUAAUUAUGACACAGCUAGUUAUACUAUGAUUGUUUUAAUAAUACAGCAAUUAUUUUCCAUAAAAUAUUACUAAAAAUAUGCAGAAAAUGCCUGAAUUAGUUCAUAUGAUAGAUAUUGGUAUAAUCUUUUGGUUUUCAGGAUAUUUUGAAGACUAAAGUGGGCAUGCUUACAAUUAAUUGAUUUAAGAUGCAAAUUAUUUUUACUGUUUAGGUAUAUAUAUGUGUGUAUAUAUAUAUCUAAUAUAUAUAUAGGUGAUAUGUUUGCUUGGGCUGCCAUAACAAAAUACCACAAACUGGGUGGUUUAAACAAUAGAAAUUUAUUUCUCACAGUUCUGGAGGCUAGAGGUCCAAGAUCAGGGUGCCAGCAUGGAUGAGCUCUGGUGAGGAUUCUGUUCCUCACUUACAGAUGGCCACCUUCUUGCUGUGUCAAUGAGGUGUUAAAUGAGGACAUAAUAAAAGGAGAGAGAGUUGAAGAGACAGAGUGGGGAGGGUUGGGGAGAGAUAGACAUAUCUUAUAAGGCCAUAGUCCUAUUGGAUUAGUGUUCCACGUUUAGGACUUCAUUUAGCCUGAAUCACCUCCUGAAGACUCUUUCUCCAUAUAUAGUCACAUUGGGAGUUAAGGCUUCAAUGUAUAAUUUGGGGGAAACACAUUUUAAUCCACAGCAGUAUGCAUCUCCAAUAAAAAUGUAUGGUUGGGAUAAUAGUUGAACAAUACUAAAGCAUAUCUUUUUGAGUAUAAAUCGUCAAGUUGAUUUUGUUUUCAGUCUCAAGUGUUUUUCUAUGACUUCUUGUCAAGUCUCCUUCUAGGUCACCAGCUGGGAUGGGAGGCCAACUCUCCAAAUCAGAAGAGGUAAGCAGUUGUUACUGAGGAGUUGACUUCCUUCCCAUUUUGUUCCCUUCAGAUUUGGGAUUUAUGUUAAGACCUUGUUAUGAUUAUCUAGUGCUACAUAACAAAUCGUUCCAAAAUUUAGUGGCUGAAAACAAUGGCAAUCAUUUUACUAUCUGUUACAGUUUUUCUGGGUCAGGAAUUUGAGCAGGACUUGCCUACGUGAUUUUGGCUUGAGGACUCUCACAUGGUGGUAAUAGAUGGAAGUUGAAACUGGAGCAGAGGAGCAGAAGUGGCUGGAGUGGCAGGAACUGGCCAGGCAUCUCUUCCUCUCUGGAUAUAUAGACACUGGGCCUCUUCAUCGGGUCUUUCUGCAGGGCUGGUUGUGCUUCCUCACUGCAUGGUGGCUCAGGGCAGUCAGACCACCUGCGUGGUGGCUCAGCACUCCAGCACAGUGUCCCAUCACUCAAGGUAGAAGCUGCAUUGUCCUCUAGGGCUUAGCCUCUGAAGCCAUGCAGCGUCACUUCCUGAGCUUCCUUGUAACCACUUCCUGUUGGUUAUAAGUGAGGCACAAGCCCAUCCAAAUUCAAAGGAAGAAGAGUUAGACUCCAUCACUUAAUAGGAACGUGGCAAGAUUCUAGAAGAGCAAAUGGGAUAAGAAUUAUUGUUGCAUUCAUCUUAGAAAAAUACAAUCCGCUACAAAGCCCCCUCAUGGAGCACCCAGAUCUGAGAAGGGGGUGCUUUCCACUAAAGUCUCUGCCUCCAUUUUCCACUUCCUCUGCUUCCUUCUCCUUCUUGUGUUCUCCAUGAGCAUUAAACCAAAAUAAACAGUUCUGAGUACCCCUUUUAAUCAAGAUGUGUGAAAAAAUGUGGAAGCUCAUCCUUGGAAGAAUAAUAAUAGAAACUAGCUUUAUUUAUCCUGGGUAAGAGACGUAAGAGGAGAUGAUGGGAUCACUAUCCCAGCACAUGUGAAAGACGGGAACAGGCUUGUCCUGGGCUGCUCCAGAGGGUGGGUGGUACAGGAUUUUUCACAGUCCUGGAGAAACUCAGAGGCUUCCUUGGCUGACCACUUUUUUUUUUCUCUUUUUCAGCUUUAUUGAAAAACAAAUGACAAAUAAAAGUUGUAUAUAUUCAAGGUAUACAAUGUGAUGCUUUGAUACAUUGUGAAAUGAUGACCUCAGUCAAGCUAAUUAAGAUAUCCAUCACUUCCUGGAGGUACCUUUGUGUCUAUAUGUGGUGAGAAUACUUACAACCUACUCUCUGAAAAUUUGAAACAUACAACCCAUUGUUAUUAACUACAGUCACCUGAUGGAUAAGAGAGCUCUUGGCUAGUAUAAAUAGAGCAAGUAUUUUCCAUAAAAAUAUGGAAAAUAAGCAAGUGUUUUCCAUAAAUAGAGCAAGUAUUUUCCAUAAAAUAUCACUAAAAAUAUGCAGGAAAGGCCUGAAUUAGUUCAUAUGGCAGAUAUUGGUAUAAUCUUUUGGUUUUCAGGAUUUUUUGAAGUCUAAAGUGGGCAUGCUUACAAUAAAUUAAUUUAAAAGUGGUAUCAGUUUUAUAUGUUCUGCAUACAAUUUUCUUUUUAAGAGUACCCUGUGGGUUAAAAUAUAUUUACAGAGCAACCUCUCCUAACAAAAGAAAAUUUCAGACCAUUAGGCUUGGUCAGAUAAAUGAAUGUUAGAGGGGCAAAAUCAGGUGUAGCAAAGAUUAGUCCAUUGCAGAAAGAAACUAGGACUGUGCCUCUCCAAAUAGGAGAGUACCAAAGAGGGUACACCCCUGUACCCCAGGGGUGUCUAGUAGUGUGCCUUUGGGUCCUAGAAGAUGUAGAAUAAGUAUGGUACAUCAUCACAACAAGUAAUUUAGGACUGUUUUGCAAUAAAACAAUCAAUAUUUAUUAUGCAGUUGAUGCAAUACUCACAUAUAUUUUAAAUUAGAUGCUCUAUGAGAAUUUUCCAGUUGCUAAUAGCUAGGCAGGUGACCCUCCUACAUUCCCCUAGGAUACUGUGUAGACAAGUUUGUAUUGACAAAAAUAAGAAUGUAGACUGAAGAGCAAAACUGUUGGGUUCAAAUCCUGGCUCUGUGACUUACUAGUUAUAUAACCCUGGGCAACUUAACCUGUUCAUGCCUUAGUUUCCUCAUCUCUGAAAUGGAGAUAUUAAUAAUAAUAAUAUUCACCUCAUGGGGUGAUUGAAAGAACAAAAUGAGUUAAUUUUAGUGUUUAAAGGAGUGCCUUGCGUGUGGCAAGUACCAUGCAGAUGCUCAUUAAAUAAAAGCUUGAGAACUAUGAAUGAGCCUCUCCGAGAAGGUCAAGAAUGGGCACAUAGUCUGGGUGAUCAUGAGCAGAGGCUGGAAGUGAUGCAUUCUGUUGAAGGAAUUGUUCAUGGGGUGGCCACUCCUUCAAAAGGAAUUAUAAAAAUCUAAGACUUGAAGCUGAGAUCCCCCACCUGCUGGGUGGUGUUUGAUGGUCUAAACUGGGGGUUUGCAAACUCUUUCAGCAAAGGGCCAAGUAGUAUAUCCUUUAGAAUUGUGGGUCAUCCAGUCUUUGUCACAUUUGUUCAACUCUGCCAUUGUAGUGUGAAAGUAGCCAUGGAUGAUAUAUACCUGAAUUAAAUGGACUGUUGUGCUGGGCUGGGGCCACAGUCCAUAGUUUGCUGCUGCUUGUCUAGAUCCUGCGGGGCCUGAGCAAGUGAGCUGGAAAUAAGGUGGCUGUUGAGGGGGCUGAGGAGCAACAGGAAGUGAGAAGGGAAGGGAGAUGGGUGCAGCACCACUACAAUGCCACUUCCUUCCUGGGGUGAACUCACUUAGACUUUGAAUAGGUUCUCUGCAGAGAUGACUGAGACACUUGGAGCCAUGCGCCUGCAGAGACACAGUGGGGGACCAUGUUAGAAAUGGGAGUAACAAGUCAUUCAUUCUUACUAUAUGUUUCGUUAUUGCAUGGCAAAGGCUUUGAAAAGAAAGCUGAGUCUUUUAUUUUCCUGUGAAUCAGCUCCGAGCCCCUGGAACAAUGUUGUUCAUUCUGCGGAUGCUCAGCAAGCCCUUGCUGACUGUCUUUAUUUCUUCACCUGCAAUAAGAUCCCCCCAGGCCCAUAUGGAAACGUAAAUGUUCUUGAGGGACUAAUUCAGUGAGACUCUUCCAGGGGAAGUUCAGUCCUCCUGGGAAGUGAUUACACACUGAUGGAAUUUUUGCACACUGGAUGGAAAGAUGAUCUUUGCCUCUUGGCUGUGUCACAGUAAUAAGUGGGAGACUGAUUAUUUCUAAGAGUGCAGCUCUUCCCGGCACUGAUAAGAAUGGAAUGCAGCGCUACCAUGGAGAUUCGGGUCACUAAUUAGUCCCAGAAGCCUCUAGGCCUUGAAUCACUGUUAUAUUAAUUAUGCAUCAAAUUAGAAUGUUUGCAAAGGCUCAGAGCCAACUGUACUGCAGAACCCGGUGACAGCAUGGAGAGAUCAAGGAGUGUCCCGCCCAGCACACUGCAGGGACCAGCAGACAAAUCCACGCGGCCUGCCUGAGCGUGCAGUGACCCCGCCUGAUCUCUGAUACAGCUGUUCGCAACUCCUGCCAGAGAGCUUGUUAUCGGCACAGGGUGGACAAAAGAAGGAAAGGAAGAGAACGAUGGCUUCCCCUCAGUUCCAUAAUCUAAGCUCUACUGCGGUAAUAUCCAGCUGAGAAAAGACACAGGACAAUCAUUUGGGCACUUUAUUUCCAUGGUAACAAAUAGAAGAUUCUUCCAGAUGUUUGCUAACAUCGUGGAGGUAACAUGUCUGGACCGUUGUCUGAUAUUCAGUUUUUAUAGCUGGGGAGACAUGGCUUUAGCUUUGGGUAAACUAUUCUAUCUCUUCCUCCUCUUCCUCUGCCUCCUUCUCCUUCUUGUGUUCUCCAUGAGCAUAAAACCAAAAUAUACUUGAUGCUUUGUUGUAAAAUAAACAGAUGAUAAAUAGCAGUCUCUGUGACUGUUGGGUUAUAAUUCCAUCGAGGGCUGGGGUUGAAGUCAUAAACCACAAGAAGUGAAGCAUGACCCACAAAUAGCCUUCAGGAUGGAAUUACAGCCCCAUAAUUCAGAGUAGCCCUUUGAAAAAAUAAUUCCUAAACCUAGCUAUAAUUUGGGGAAAGAGCCACGACAGUGGUGACGUCUUCUCUAAUCAGUUCAUCAGUAGACAAAUUACUCCCCUUCGUUAUUCUGAUGAUAUUUAUUAACGUUGGGGUGAGCACCCAAUCUGUUUUCUAGGAGGUUACUGUUGAAACCAGGUAGCAGUCGCCCAAACAGAACCAAAGAAAGGGAAACUGGAGUCUCACAGUAAGAAAGUUCUCACCACAGAUGAAGGUCAAUGAGCAUGAGGUGAGAAGAGACAUUCAUUACUUUGGAACUGAUGAGAAAUAUUGAUUCCUGACCACAGGAGUAGUGGCCGAGUUUGUUUUGCGUGGAGUGUGGCAUAAAUUCCGUCCCUGUUCUGCAUCUUACUACUUCUCUAAAUGUCUUUGCUAUUUUCAAAACUGAUUCUGCUUGAUCUCAUAAUUCAUUAAAGCAAGUUGAUCUCAUGCA
Homo sapiens (human) is the source of this 10911-nucleotide long non-coding RNA. RefSeq lists it as uncharacterized. The transcript has 4 exons. Lineage: Eukaryota; Metazoa; Chordata; Mammalia; Primates; Hominidae. The record is from RefSeq and is a predicted model, not a curated record.